AUUAUUCAGUUGCUCCAUGUAAUCACAUGUCUUUGUUCACAAUCAGAUACCAGCCUGUUGCGGUGACAUAUCAUCUCACGUCAAAAAAUCAUUUUGUUUCCUUUCAUCGAAUCACUGGUAGUCACUGGAAUUUUUAUGAUGGGUUCAAGGAACUGAAACAGCCAGGCUUUGGGGACCAACAGGCAACCGUAAAAGAAUUUAAUAGUGUAUUCUCAAAAGACUGUACUGUGGGUCACAUCAUGCUUGUAAGGACUCCAAGAGAACAUAAACCUGUGAUGGAAGGGUCAACUGAAAUCAGUGAUGACACUCCUGCUGAAAGUUCAACAGAGGAGGAACAAUGCGACAGAGAGAGAAUGGUAGUACUGGAUUACUACAAUGCACACCAAUGUCUGUUCAAUGUAAUAUUGAAUGUAAUGUCUACAUGUACUAUUUCAAAGAU
Megalobrama amblycephala (Wuchang bream) is the source of this 439-nucleotide long non-coding RNA. RefSeq lists it as uncharacterized. The record is from RefSeq and is a predicted model, not a curated record. NCBI's taxonomy places the organism in Eukaryota, Metazoa, Chordata, Actinopteri, Cypriniformes, Xenocyprididae. The transcript is spliced from 3 exons.